GGAGGGAGGAGAUUGUGAAGGUGCGAGAUGGAGAUGCUGCAUAGAGAAAGAUGGUAAGAGUGGGGUAAAAUGCAAACUUUUGGGAAUUUAUCGUGCAAGCUUUCUUGGUCUGCCAGUGUGUAUAAAGGAAGCGAGUUUCUUUCUCUUUGAUGCUGUAGCUACAAAAUUUAAGAUAAUCCCUUUUUUUUCCCCGGACUUGGCAUUUUCGCCUGGCAUCCCAAUGAAGAGUACCUGCAUGUGAUUGAGCUGAAAUAUACCAAGUCUUCGAAGGGCUCUGUGGAAGAAUUGAUCUAUCCUUUUUUCUGAGUGAGGAGGCCUCAUAUCGCCAUGUGAUACAACGGAUUCAAAAAAGAAUAUCUCUUCAGCAUUGUUAGUAUUCAAUAAAGCAAGAAGUAAAUCUGCUUUCACGUGUUUGUCACUUUCUCGUCAGGGCGGGCUAUAGACCUGGAUCUUGUCCUGGGAAGUGGCCUGAAGAACUUUUUCCAUAGAAAUAUUUUUCAAAGCAGCAAUUUGAGCAGCAACAUGUAUGGCCAUACCAGGAUGAGAAAAUAGUCUUCCUUUGGAUAUCUGAGAAUAUAUAUUAAAACACAAUUAGCAAAAUGGAAACCGUAUAAAUGCAAUAAAUUGUAUUUAAUGCAGUAUGUGACAAAUUUUAUUUAAUAAAUUAAGGCUGAAUGAUUUUAAUAAGAUUCAAAGCAAA
Stegodyphus dumicola is the source of this 700-nucleotide long non-coding RNA. Lineage: Eukaryota; Metazoa; Arthropoda; Arachnida; Araneae; Eresidae. The record is from RefSeq and is a predicted model, not a curated record.